Long non-coding RNA from Raphanus sativus (radish), 546 nucleotides. RefSeq lists it as uncharacterized. The record is from RefSeq and is a predicted model, not a curated record. The transcript is spliced from 3 exons. NCBI's taxonomy places the organism in Eukaryota, Viridiplantae, Streptophyta, Magnoliopsida, Brassicales, Brassicaceae.
AUAGUUUCUUCUUCUAGAGAGAGAAUCGCUCUCUCUUUACCUCCUUCGUAUCCAUCUCUGUAUCUUUAAGAAGGACGAAGAAGAGAGCAUUUCUUGUUUUUUUUUUCGAUCAGACAAUCCUUUUGUUCGCUAAGGCGAUUUUUGUUUGUUUGCAGGUGGAGAAAAGGUCAUAAAAGGUCUCAGUAAGGGUGUUGAAGGGAUGCGAGCUGGUGAUAAGAGAAGACUCAUAAUUUCACCAUCUCUUGGAUACUCAGGGGAAGGACUAAAGAAGGAAGAUGUGCCUAGAAUUCGUGGCUUGUCUAUGAAGUAGAGGCAGUAAAAGUGAGAGAUGUCACUGGCUCUUUUGAAACAAGUUUAUGCUUUUUUUUGUUUUUUUUCUUCUCGGGUCAUCUAUUUGUCUCAUAUUGCCUCCAAUUUUUGUUCGUUUUGGGGAGGGGAUUCGCUAGCUGUUCGCUUAACUCAGCCACAUGGUUAUAUAAUUUCUUCGGUCAAAAAGAUGCAAAGUUGUUUAAAGUUGGAACUUUUUUCGUCGAAGUGUAAUUUCCU